This 497-nucleotide ribosomal RNA is filed under the name uncultured bacterium. RNAcentral describes it as "partial 16S ribosomal RNA". It matches the Rfam family "Bacterial small subunit ribosomal RNA", at positions 28 to 507 of the family's 1533-position model. The record is from RNAcentral.
GAUGAACGCUGGCGGCGUGCCUAAUACAUGCAAGUCGAGCGAACGGACGAGAAGCUUGCUUCUCUGAUGUUAGCGGCGGACGGGUGAGUAACACGUGGAUAACCUGCCUAUAAGACUGGGAUAACUUCGGGAAACCGUAGCUAAUACCGGAUAAUAUUUUGAACCGCAUGGUUCAAAAGUGAAAGACGGUCUUGCUGUCACUUAUAGAUGGAUCCGCGCUGCAUUAGCUAGUUGGUAAGGUAACGGCUUACCAAGGCAACGAUGCAUAGCCGACCUGAGAGGGUGAUCGGCCACACUGGAACUGAGACACGGUCCAGACUCCUACGGGAGGCAGCAGUAGGCAAUCUUCCGCAAUGGGCGAAAGCCUGACGGAGCAACGCCGCGUGAGUGAUGAAGGUCUUCGGAUCGUAAAACUCUGUUAUUAGGGAAGAACAUAUGUGUAAGUAACUGUGCACAUCUUGACGGUACCUAAUCAGAAAGCCACGGCUAACUACGUG